GCAGUGGUAGCUGAGUGGGCAAGGCAUGGGGCUACUGAUUGAAAGGUCUUGAGUUCAAAUCCCAGCACCGACG
Molecule: non-coding RNA, 73 nt
Organism: Pangasius djambal
Lineage: Eukaryota; Metazoa; Chordata; Actinopteri; Siluriformes; Pangasiidae
Source: the annotation of a GenBank genome assembly